UCACGUCUUACGACGGCAGUUUCAUUAGAGUUCCCAGCAUUACCUGUUGGCAACUAAUGAUAGGGGUUGCGCUCGUUGCGGGACUUAACCCAACACCUCACGACACGAGCUGACGACAACCAUGCAGCACCUCUGCUCGCUCCCUUGCGGGUCAGUCUCUGUUUCCAGAAACUUACCACGAGUAGUUCAAGCCCAGGUAAGGUUCUUCGCGUUGCGUCGAAUUAAACCACAUGCUCCACCGCUUGUGCGGGCCCCCGUCAAUUCCUUUGAGUUUCAAUCUUGCGACCGUACUCCCCAGGCGGGAUGCUUAAAGCGUUAGCUGCGCCACUGACGAGCAAGCUCGCCAACGGCUAGCAUCCAUCGUUUACGGCGUGGACUAC
Molecule: unclassified non-coding RNA, 380 nt
Filed under: uncultured bacterium
Lineage: Bacteria
Description: contains 16S-23S intergenic spacer region
Source: RNAcentral